This 834-nucleotide long non-coding RNA is filed under the name Homo sapiens (human). Its description in RNAcentral is "HSALNT0358412". Lineage: Eukaryota; Metazoa; Chordata; Mammalia; Primates; Hominidae. The record is from RNAcentral.
CCACUAUCCUGAAGUUGGUAGUUGGUGUUUACCAUUUCCAUCCAUUUAUACAUACACACACGCACAGGCAGACACACACACACACAUACACAAACAUAUAUCUCAAUACACAAUAUUUAGUACUGUGAUAGCCAGCCUUCAAGAAGGCUCUCUAUAAUUCUUGCCUGUAAGUAUUUGCUAUGGUUUGAAUGUCUCCUCCAAAACUCACCUUGAAAUUUAAUUGCCACUUUAACAGUGUUGAGAGGCAGGACCUUUAAGAGGUGAUUAGGUCAUGAAGGCUCUGCCCCAUAACUGGAUUUUUGCCAUUAUCAUAGGAGUGGGUUAGUUACUGGGGGAGUGGAUUCCUGAUAAAAUCCACUCCCAAAAACGGUGAGUUCAAGUCAAUUUCCCCUCUCUGUCUUCUGUGCACACUUCCUCACCAUGUGAUGCCUUCUGACAUGUUACAAUGCAGCAAGAAGACCCUCACUAGAUGGACUCCUCGAUCUUGGAUUUCCCAGAACUGGGAAGCCGGUCAUCAUAUCAUGAGGACAAUCCUGCAGCCCUAUGGAGAAGCCCACAUGGAGAAGUGGUACCUUCUUGACCAAAAGUAAACUUGUCAACCAUGUUAGUGAGUCACCUUAGAAUCAGAUCUUCCGGCCUCAGUCAAGCCAGAUGAUUAAGGCCCUGACUGACAUGGGGCUGCACCCUCAAAAGACUACAAACUGCUCAGCCAAACUAUUCCUAAAUCCCUAAUCCACAGAAACAUGAGAGAUAAUAAAAGAUUAGUUUAUGCCCCUUUGUUGUAAUUUGCUGUACAGUAUUAAAUAACCAAAUAUAGUAUGACUUUGCAUAUAU